GACGAACGCUGGCGGCGUGCUUAACACAUGCCAGUCGAACGAUGAAGCCCAGCUUGCUGGGUGGAUUAGUGGCGAACGGGUGAGUAAUACGUGAGUAACCUGCCUUUAACUCUGGGAUAAGCCUUGGAAACGGGGUCUAAUACCGGAUACGACCAACCCUCGCAUGGGGUGUUGGUGGAAAGGGAUUUUGUACUGGUUUUAGAUGGGCUCACGGCCUAUCAGCUUGUUGGUGAGGUAACGGCUCACCAAGGCGACGACGGGUAGCCGGCCUGAGAGGGUGACCGGCCACACUGGGACUGAGACACGGCCCAGACUCCUACGGGAGGCAGCAGUGGGGAAUAUUGCACAAUGGGCGCAAGCCUGAUGCAGCGACGCCGCGUGAGGGAUGACGACCUUCGGGUUGUAAACCUCUUUCAGCAGGGGAGAAGCGAAAGUGACGGUACCUGCAGAAGAAGCGCCGGCUAACUACGUG
RNAcentral lists this ribosomal RNA (472 nucleotides) under uncultured bacterium. RNAcentral describes it as "partial 16S ribosomal RNA". It matches the Rfam family "Bacterial small subunit ribosomal RNA", at positions 28 to 507 of the family's 1533-position model. The record is from RNAcentral.